RNAcentral lists this transfer RNA (76 nucleotides) under bacterium BMS3Abin10. RNAcentral describes it as "tRNA-Thr". It matches the Rfam family "tRNA". Rfam says of the family: Transfer RNA (tRNA) molecules are approximately 80 nucleotides in length. The record is from RNAcentral. RNAcentral also lists the same sequence under 3 other names.
GCCCCCGUAGCUCAGUUGGUAGAGCAUUCGAUUCGUAAUCGAAAGGUAGGCGGUUCGAGACCGCCCGGGGGCUCCA